RNAcentral lists this ribosomal RNA (253 nucleotides) under uncultured bacterium. RNAcentral's name for it is "partial 16S ribosomal RNA". It matches the Rfam family "Bacterial small subunit ribosomal RNA", at positions 524 to 776 of the family's 1533-position model. The record is from RNAcentral.
UACGUAGGGGGCAAGCGUUGUCCGGAUUUAUUGGGCGUAAAGAGCGUGUAGGCGGCCAGGUAGGUCUGCUGUGAAAACUCGAGGCUUAACCUCGAGCUGUCGGCGGAAACCAUCUGGCUAGAGUCCGGAAGAGGAGAAUGGAAUUCCCGGUGUAGCGGUGAAAUGCGCAGAUAUCGGGAGGAACACCAAUGGCGAAAGCAGGUAUCUGGACUAUUACUGACACUCAGCUGCGAAAGCUAGGGGAGCAAACAGG